This 264-nucleotide unclassified non-coding RNA is filed under the name uncultured fungus. RNAcentral's name for it is "sequence contains ITS2". The record is from RNAcentral. Lineage: Eukaryota; Fungi.
AACGCACAUUGCGCCCGCCAGAAUUCUGGCGGGCAUGCCUGUUCGAGCGUCAUUUCAACCCUCGAGCUCCCCUCUUUUGGGAGAGCCCGGCGUUGGGGACCCGGCGCUAACACCGCCGGCCCCGAAAUGGAGUGGCGGCCCGUCCGCGGCGACCUCUGCGUAGUAAUAUCCACUCGCACCGGGACCCGGGCGCGGCCACGCCGUUAAACACCCCACCUUCCGAAUGUUGACCUCGAAUCAGGUAGGAAUACCCGCUGAACUUAA